CACUAUCGUUAACUGAAUACAUAGGUUAACGAGGCGAACCGGGGGAACUGAAACAUCUAAGUACCCCGAGGAAAAGAAAUCAACCGAGAUUCCCCCAGUAGCGGCGAGCGAACGGGGAGCAGCCCAGAGUCUGAAUCAGCUUGUGUGUUAGUGGAACGGUCUGGAAAGUCCGACGGUACAGGGUGAUAGUCCCGUACACCAAAAUGCACAGGCUGUGAACUCGAAGAGUAGGGCGGGACACGUGGUAUCCUGUCUGAAUAUGGGGGGACCAUCCUCCAAGGCUAAAUACUCCUGACUGACCGAUAGUGAACCAGUACCGUGAGGGAAAGGCGAAAAGAACCCCGGCGAGGGGAGUGAAAAAGAACCUGAAACCGUGUACGUACAAGCAGUGGGAGCACCUUCGGGUGUGACUGCGUACCUUUUGUAUAAUGGGUCAGCGACUUAUAUUCUGUAGCAAGGUUAACCGUAUAGGGGAGCCGCAGGGAAACCGAGUCUUAACUGGGCGUUAAGUUGCAGGGUAUAGACCCGAAACCCGGUGAUCUAGCCAUGGGCAGGUUGAAGGUUGGGUAACACUAACUGGAGGACCGAACCGACUAAUGUUGAAAAAUUAGCGGAUGACUUGUGGCUGGGGGUGAAAGGCCAAUCAAACCGGGAGAUAGCUGGUUCUCCCCGAAAGCUAUUUAGGUAGCGCCUCGUGAAUUCAUCUUCGGGGGUAGAGCACUGUUUCGGCUAGGGGGUCAUCCCGACUUACCAACCCGAUGCAAACUACGAAUACCGAAGAAUGUUAUCACGGGAGACACACGGCGGGUGCUAACGUCCGUCGUGAAGAGGGAAACAACCCAGACCGCCAGCUAAGGUCCCAAAGUCAUGGUUAAGUGGGAAACGAUGUGGGAAGGCACAGACAGCCAGGAUGUUGGCUUAGAAGCAGCCAUCAUUUAAAGAAAGCGUAAUAGCUCACUGGUCGAGUCGGCCUGCGCGGAAGAUGUAACGGGGCUAAACCAUGCACCGAAGCUGCGGCAGCGACACUAUGUGUUGUUGGGUAGGGGAGCGUUCUGUAAGCCUGCGAAGGUGACCUGUGAGGGUUGCUGGAGGUAUCAGAAGUGCGAAUGCUGACAUAAGUAACGAUAAAGCGGGUGAAAAGCCCGCUCGCCGGAAGACCAAGGGUUCCUGUCCAACGUUAAUCGGGGCAGGGUGAGUCGACCCCUAAGGCGAGGCCGAAAGGCGUAGUCGAUGGGAAACAGGUUAAUAUUCCUGUACUUGGUGUUACUGCGAAGGGGGGACGGAGAAGGCUAUGUUAGCCGGGCGACGGUUGUCCCGGUUUAAGCAUGUAGGCUGGUUGUCCAGGCAAAUCCGGAUAAUCAAGGCUGAGGUGUGAUGACGAGGUACUACGGUGCUGAAGUAACAAAUGCCCUGCUUCCAGGAAAAGCCUCUAAGCAUCAGGUAACAUUAAAUCGUACCCCAAACCGACACAGGUGGUCAGGUAGAGAAUACCAAGGCGCUUGAGAGAACUCGGGUGAAGGAACUAGGCAAAAUGGUGCCGUAACUUCGGGAGAAGGCACGCUGGUGUGUAGGUGAAGUCCCUGCGGAUGGAGCUGAGACCAGUCGAAGAUACCAGCUGGCUGCAACUGUUUAUUAAAAACACAGCACUGUGCAAACACGAAAGUGGACGUAUACGGUGUGACGCCUGCCCGGUGCCGGAAGGUUAAUUGAUGGGGUUAUCCGUAAGGAGAAGCUCUUGAUCGAAGCCCCGGUAAACGGCGGCCGUAACUAUAACGGUCCUAAGGUAGCGAAAUUCCUUGUCGGGUAAGUUCCGACCUGCACGAAUGGCGUAAUGAUGGCCAGGCUGUCUCCACCCGAGACUCAGUGAAAUUGAACUCGCUGUGAAGAUGCAGUGUACCCGCGGCAAGACGGAAAGACCCCGUGAACCUUUACUAUAGCUUGACACUGAACAUUGAGCCUUGAUGUGUAGGAUAGGUGGGAGGCUUUGAAGCGUGGACGCCAGUCUGCGUGGAGCCAACCUUGAAAUACCACCCUUUAAUGUUUGAUGUUCUAACGUUGGCCCCUGACCGGGGUUGCGGACAGUGUCUGGUGGGUAGUUUGACUGGGGCGGUCUCCUCCCAAAGCGUAACGGAGGAGCACGAAGGUUAGCUAAUCCUGGUCGGACAUCAGGAGGUUAGUGCAAUGGCAUAAGCUAGCUUGACUGCGAGCGUGACGGCGCGAGCAGGUGCGAAAGCAGGUCAUAGUGAUCCGGUGGUUCUGAAUGGAAGGGCCAUCGCUCAACGGAUAAAAGGUACUCCGGGGAUAACAGGCUGAUACCGCCCAAGAGUUCAUAUCGACGGCGGUGUUUGGCACCUCGAUGUCGGCUCAUCACAUCCUGGGGCUGAAGUAGGUCCCAAGGGUAUGGCUGUUCGCCAUUUAAAGUGGUACGCGAGCUGGGUUUAGAACGUCGUGAGACAGUUCGGUCCCUAUCUGCCGUGGGCGCUGGAGAAUUGAGGGGGGCUGCUCCUAGUACGAGAGGACCGGAGUGGACGCAUCACUGGUGUUCGGGUUGUCAUGCCAAUGGCACUGCCCGGUAGCUAAAUGCGGAAGAGAUAAGUGCUGAAAGCAUCUAAGCACGAAACUUGCCCCGAGAUGAGUUCUCCCUGAGACUUUAAGUCUCCUGAAGGAACGUUGAAGACGACGACGUUGAUAGGCCGGGUGUGUAAGCGCAGCGAUGCGUUGAGCUAACCGGUACUAAUGAACCGUGAGGCUUAACCUU
This 2758-nucleotide ribosomal RNA is filed under the name Klebsiella pneumoniae. RNAcentral describes it as "bacterial LSU rRNA". It matches the Rfam family "Bacterial large subunit ribosomal RNA". The record is from RNAcentral. Lineage: Bacteria; Pseudomonadati; Pseudomonadota; Gammaproteobacteria; Enterobacterales; Enterobacteriaceae.